Molecule: transfer RNA, 87 nt
Filed under: Erysipelotrichaceae bacterium
Lineage: Bacteria; Bacillati; Bacillota; Erysipelotrichia; Erysipelotrichales; Erysipelotrichaceae
Description: tRNA-Leu
Rfam family: tRNA
About the family: Transfer RNA (tRNA) molecules are approximately 80 nucleotides in length.
Source: RNAcentral
GGGGAUGUGGCGGAAUAGGCAGACGCAACGGACUUAAAAUCCGUUGAUGGCAACAUCGUGCGGGUUCAAGUCCCGCCAUCCCCACCA